RNAcentral lists this ribosomal RNA (229 nucleotides) under uncultured bacterium. RNAcentral's name for it is "partial 16S ribosomal RNA". It matches the Rfam family "Bacterial small subunit ribosomal RNA", at positions 568 to 796 of the family's 1533-position model. The record is from RNAcentral.
UCCGUAGGCGGGCAAUUAAGUCAGAGGUGAAAUCCCACAGCUCAACUGUGGAACUGCCUUUGGUACUGGUUGUCUUGAGUUACAGUGAAGUAGAUAGAAUAUGUAGUGUAGCGGUGAAAUGCAUAGAUAUUACAUAGAAUACCGAUUGCGAAGGCAGUCUACUAACUGUAUACUGACGCUAAUGGACGAAAGCGUGGGGAGCGAACAGGAUUAGAUACCCUGGUAGUCC